This 397-nucleotide ribosomal RNA is filed under the name uncultured bacterium. Its description in RNAcentral is "partial 16S ribosomal RNA". It matches the Rfam family "Bacterial small subunit ribosomal RNA", at positions 360 to 774 of the family's 1533-position model. The record is from RNAcentral.
AAUCUUGCGCAAUGGGCGAAAGCCUGACGCAGCCAUGCCGCGUGAAUGAUGAAGGUCUNCGGAUUNUNAAAUUCUUUCACCGGGGNAGAUAAUGACGGUACCCGGAGAAGAAGCCCCGGCUAACUUCGUGCCAGCAGCCGCGGUAAUACGAAGGGGGCUAGCGUUGCUUGGAAUUACUGGGCGUAAAGGGCGCGUAGGCGGACAUUUAAGUCCGGGGUAAAAUCCCAGAGCUCAACUCUGAAACUGCCUUUGAUACUGGGUGUCUUGAGUGUGAGAGAGGUAUGUGGAACUCCGAGUGUAGAGGUGAAAUUCGUAGAUAUUCGGAAGAACACCAGUGGCGAAGGCGACAUACUGGCUCAUUACUGACGCUGAGGCGCGAAAGCGUGGGGAGCAAACA